UACGUAGGUGGCAAGCGUUGUCCGGAAUUACUGGGUGUAAAGGGCGUGUAGGCGGGAAAGCAAGUCAGAUGUGAAAUCCCAUGGCUUAACUGUGGAGCUGCAUCUGAAACUGUUUUUCUUGAGUAUCGGAGAGGAAAGUGGAAUUCCAAGUGUAGCGGUGAAAUGCGUAGAGAUUUGGAGGAACACCAGUGGCGAAGGCGGCUUUCUGGACGAUAACUGACGCUGAGGCGAGAAAGCGUGGGGAGCAAACAGG
RNAcentral lists this ribosomal RNA (253 nucleotides) under uncultured bacterium. RNAcentral describes it as "partial 16S ribosomal RNA". It matches the Rfam family "Bacterial small subunit ribosomal RNA", at positions 524 to 776 of the family's 1533-position model. The record is from RNAcentral.